This is a small nuclear RNA of Monodelphis domestica (gray short-tailed opossum), 107 nucleotides long. The record is from Ensembl. NCBI's taxonomy places the organism in Eukaryota, Metazoa, Chordata, Mammalia, Didelphimorphia, Didelphidae.
GUGCUUUCUUUGGCAGCACAUAUACUAAAAUUGGAAUGAUACACAGAAGAUUAGCAUGGCCCUUGUGUAAGGAUGACAUGCAAAUUUGUGAAGCAUUCCAUAUUUAA